This 22-nucleotide non-coding RNA is filed under the name Arabidopsis thaliana (thale cress). The record is from RNAcentral. Lineage: Eukaryota; Viridiplantae; Streptophyta; Magnoliopsida; Brassicales; Brassicaceae.
GACUAUUGAAGCUACUGUUGGG